RNAcentral lists this ribosomal RNA (482 nucleotides) under uncultured bacterium. Its description in RNAcentral is "partial 16S ribosomal RNA". It matches the Rfam family "Bacterial small subunit ribosomal RNA", at positions 28 to 507 of the family's 1533-position model. The record is from RNAcentral.
GACGAACGCUGGCGGCGUGCUUAACACAUGCAAGUCGAACGAUGAAGAAGAGAAACGCGAACUUCGGUUCAAAUUUCACUUCGGAUUAGUGGCAGACGGGUGAGUAACGCGUGAGCAACCUACCUCUUACAAAGGGAUAGCCUCGGGAAACCGUGAUUAAUACCAUAUGACACAUUCAUAAGGCAUCUUAAGAAUGUUAAAGCUACGGCGGUAAGAGAUGGGCUCGCGUCCCAUUAGCUAGUUGGUGAGGUAACGGCCCACCAAGGCGACGAUGGGUAACCGGCCUGAGAGGGUGAACGGUCACAUUGGAACUGAGACACGGUCCAAACUCCUACGGGAGGCAGCAGUGGGGAAUAUUGCACAAUGGAGGGAACUCUGAUGCAGCGACGCCGCGUGGGCGAUGAAGGAAUUCGUUUCGUAAAGCUCUGUUCUAUGGGAAGAAAAGGACUGUACCAUAGGAGAAAGCCCCGGCUAAAUACGUG